UAAGGAAUAUUGCUCAAUGGGAGAAAUCCUGAAGCAGCAACGCCGCGUGGAGGAUGAAGGGUCUAUGACUUGUAAACUCCUGUAAAGAAGGAAAAAAUUCCCAUUUGAUGGGAGAUGAUGGUACUUCUGGAGUAAGCCCCAGCUAACUACGUGCCAGCAGCCGCGGUAAUACGUAGGGGGCAAGCGUUGUCCGGAUUUACUGGGUGUAAAGGGUGCUCAGGCGGAUUUGUAAGUCAGAGGUGAAAUCUUACAGCUUAACUGUGAAACUGCCUUUGAUACUGCAAGCCUAGAGUAUGGAAGAGAGUGAUGGAAUAUCUGGUGUAGCAGUGAAAUGCGUAGAUAUCAGAUAGAACACCAAUGGCGAAGGCAGUCACUUGGUCCAUUACUGACGCUAAAGCACGAAAGCGUGGGUAGCAAACA
Molecule: ribosomal RNA, 420 nt
Filed under: uncultured bacterium
Lineage: Bacteria
Description: bacterial SSU rRNA
Rfam family: Bacterial small subunit ribosomal RNA
Source: RNAcentral